This 58-nucleotide transfer RNA is filed under the name Stephanurus dentatus. RNAcentral describes it as "tRNA-Asn". Lineage: Eukaryota; Metazoa; Nematoda; Chromadorea; Rhabditida; Stephanuridae. The record is from RNAcentral.
UAAGGGUUAGUUUAAUGUUAGAAUUGUUGACUGUUAAUCAAAAGGUGGGUACUCUUAA